UUCUAGCCUGCAGCCCGGUCCAACGGCCCCACAGAGAGGCCAGGAUCCCUGGUGCUGGGAGUGAGGGGGUGAGGUGUGCGUCUGUCGAGAUGCCGGACCUGGAGAUGGUGUUCGUCAGUCUGAGGAUGUGGGGACGACUUUCUUCCCUCCUGCGAUUGCUUUCCCCCACCUCUCCUAUAAAUGACUUAAAAUACACACGAGGAAACCAUCUUCGCUCUUUCCAAGCAUCCGGUUGAGUGGCAUUAGCGCAUUCACAUUGGUACGUGGCUGUCACCACCAUCUGUCUCCAGAAUUUUUCAUCUUCCCAGACUGAAUGUCUGUCCCCAUUGAACACUAACCCCCGGCCCCUGGUCCCCAGCCACCAGCACUUUUUCUGACUCUGACAAUGCUGAGUGUCUCCAUGUACAUGGAGUCCUACAGCAUUUAUCCUUCUGCAAGUGGCUCAUUUCACUCAGCGUGAUGCCUUCAAGGUUCAUCCGUGGUCGUGGCCUGUGUGAGACUGUCCUUCACUUUGAAGGCUGAGUUGUCUUUCGUGUGGCUUUUAUCCACCCGUGCACCCUGCCUGCUCCCACUUAGCUGCUAUGAACUUGGCGUACGGAAGCGCUCGAGCCCUCCCUCCGUUCUGCGGGGCUGGCCCCAGAUGGCAUCCGACCCUUGCUGUCCUCUGAGCUCUGCCGGAGGUUUUCGGUGGCCGUCAUGUGGCAGGGCGCUCCGUGGCACAGGGGCGUCCCUGUGGCGUGUGCACCGCAGGGCUGCUCACUGGGCCUCUCCUCUCCCCGCAGCAAGAGUACUGGAGGUUAGUGGAAGAGAAGGACUGCCACGUGGCCGUGCACUGCGGCAAGGUAGACACCAACACGCACGGCAGCGGGUUCCCGGUGGGGAAGUCAGAACCGUUUUCAAGGCAUGGAUGGAACCUCACCGUCCUCCCUAAUAACACAGGGUCCAUCCUGCGUCACCUCGGUGCUGUGCCUGGUAAGCCUGGCGUGGCCACUGUCUUUGUUAUUUUUAAGAGGAAGAGUGGGGUUGGGAGGGG
RNAcentral lists this long non-coding RNA (1033 nucleotides) under Ursus americanus (American black bear). Its description in RNAcentral is "lncRNA (ENSUAMG00000003074.1)". Lineage: Eukaryota; Metazoa; Chordata; Mammalia; Carnivora; Ursidae. The record is from RNAcentral.